Molecule: ribosomal RNA, 398 nt
Filed under: uncultured bacterium
Lineage: Bacteria
Description: partial 16S ribosomal RNA
Rfam family: Bacterial small subunit ribosomal RNA
Source: RNAcentral
AUACGUAGGGUGCGAGCGUUGUCCGGAAUUACUGGGCGUAAAGAGCUCGUAGGUGGUUUGUCGCGUCGUCUGUGAAAUUCCGGGGCUUAACUCCGGGCGUGCAGGCGAUACGGGCAUAACUUGAGUACUGUAGGGGAGACUGGAAUUCCUGGUGUAGCGGUGAAAUGCGCAGAUAUCAGGAGGGACACCGGUGGCGAAGGGGGGUCUCUGGGCAGUAACUGACGCUGAGGAGCGAAAGCAUGGGUAGCGAACAGGAUUAGAUACCCUGGUAGUCCAUGCCGUAAACGGUGGGCGCUAGGUGUAGGGUUCUUCCACGACUUCUGUGCCGUAGCUAACGCAUUAAGCGCCCCGCCUGGGGAGUACGGCCGCAAGGCUAAAACUCAAAGGAAUUGACGGGG